RNAcentral lists this ribosomal RNA (431 nucleotides) under uncultured bacterium. RNAcentral describes it as "partial 16S ribosomal RNA". It matches the Rfam family "Bacterial small subunit ribosomal RNA", at positions 29 to 507 of the family's 1533-position model. The record is from RNAcentral.
AACGAACGCUGGCGGCAGGCUUAACACAUGCAAGUCGAGCGCCCCGCAAGGGGAGCGGCAGACGGGUGAGUACCGCGUGGGAACGUACCUUUUGGUUCGGAACAACUCCGGGAAACUGGAGCUAAUACCGGAUAAGCCCUAACGGGGAAAGAUUUAUCGCCGAAAGAUCGGCCCGCGUCUGAUUAGCUAGUUGGUGAGGUAACGGGUCACCAAGGCGACGAUCAGUAGCUGGUCUGAGAGGAUGAGCAGCCACACUGGGACUGAGACACGGCCCAGACUCCUACGGGAGGUAGCAGUGGGGAAUAUUGGACAAUGGGGGCAAGGCUGAACCAGCCAGGCCGCGUGAGUGAUGAAGGCCUUAGGGUUGUAAAGCUCUUUUGUCCGGGAAGAUAAUGACGGUACCGGAAGAAUAAGCCCCGGCUAACUUCGUG